GGUCUUUUAGUUUAACUUUAAAAUGUAUAUUUUGUAAAUAUAUGAUAACUUUAGUGUUAAUGGCCU
Molecule: transfer RNA, 66 nt
Filed under: Mesocestoides corti
Lineage: Eukaryota; Metazoa; Platyhelminthes; Cestoda; Cyclophyllidea; Mesocestoididae
Also listed under: 2 other names
Description: tRNA-Thr
Source: RNAcentral